AAAGUCGUAACAAGGUAACCGUAGGUGAACCUGCGGUUGGAUCAUUAAAAAAUCCGAAGUCUGGGUCAAGUUUACUUGAUGCCAGCUUCUAAACUGGUCUUAGGACCUUCAACCUUGUGUGAACCGUUAUUGACGCUGGUCAGAUCUUACUGCCGCAAGGCGGUGCUGGCCAGUCUUUUUAUAAACUUGUCUUGUUUUUCUUAAAAGUAUUUGAAUGAAUACAACUUUUGACAAUGGAUCUCUUGGCUCUC
Molecule: unclassified non-coding RNA, 251 nt
Filed under: Chytridiomycota sp.
Lineage: Eukaryota; Fungi; Chytridiomycota
Description: partial contains small subunit ribosomal RNA, internal transcribed spacer 1, and 5.8S ribosomal RNA
Rfam family: Eukaryotic small subunit ribosomal RNA (bases 1-47)
Source: RNAcentral